Molecule: long non-coding RNA, 1372 nt
Filed under: Marmota monax (woodchuck)
Lineage: Eukaryota; Metazoa; Chordata; Mammalia; Rodentia; Sciuridae
Source: RNAcentral
CAAGAAUAUAAAUAGUAAUAAAUGCUGGUGAGGAUGUGGGGGAAAAGGAACAUUUAUACACCGUUGUGGAAUUGUGAAUUAGUAUAACACGAUGGAAAUCAGUAUGGUGGUUCCUCAAAAGACUAGGAACAGAAUCACCAUGUGACCCAACUAUACCACUCCCCGUUAUUUAUCCCAAAGAAUUGAAGUCAGCAUAGUAUAGCGAUGUACACAUAACUGUGUUUAUAGCAGCACGAUUCACAAUAGCCAGAUUAUAGAGCCUGUCAACAGAUACUGGAUAAAGAAAAUAUGGUAUAUGUAUGUAAUGGAGUUUUAUUCAGUCAUAAAGAAGAAGGAAAUUAUGUCAUUUGCAGGAAAAUGGUUGGAACUUGAGAUAUUAUGUUAAGUGAAAUCAGUAAAGUCUCAUUAAGUCUUUUCUGUCAUAUGUGGAAGCUAGAGAGAAAAAAGGAAAACAAAGGUUGGAGGAACUCAUGAAAUUAGAAGGGAGAACAGUAGAGUAGAGGAAGGGAACUAGGGGGAAAGAGGAGAAGAGGGAAAGGGGAGGUAUUGGGAAAUGAAACUGACCAAAUUAUAUUGUAUAUGUGUAAUAAUAUGUCAUAGUCAGUCCCACUAUUUGUAUAAUUAUAAUGCACAAUAAAAAAUUAAUUAAAAAAUAAAAACUAGGAUAGUGGCACCUGCCUGUAGUCCCAGCAUCCAGAAAGCUGAGGCAGGAUGGUUGCUUGAUCCCAGGGCUUUGAGGCUAGGCUGGCAACAUAGCAAGACCCUAUCUCAAAACAAACAAACAAACAAACAAACAUUAGUGAUAUACUAAUAUGGUCUUUUGGCUUUAAUGUCUUAGUGUAGAUAAUCAUCCACCUUUUUAGUUAGUUCAUUUGUUUAGUUUGAGACAAGUCUCAAGAAUUAUUUGAUGAAAGAAGAAGAAAACCAGUCUCCAGUCUGGCUCAAGCUUAUGAGCUCAAGUGACCCUCCCGUCUCAGCCUCCUUAAUAGCUAGGACUACAACUGCACACCACCACAUUCAGCUUCAGUCACCUUUUUCUAUCAGAAUGAGGCAUUUCCUUCAUAAUACCUAAGGAAGUCACAAAAUCACUGAAAAUAUACAUUGUGGUUUUGGGCUUAUUGUUGAAAGAGAUGUGUCUUAGAUGCCUCCGUUUAUUUUCAUAGGGCAAAAUUCCACAUGAGGAAGCAAUAUGAGCUGGAAUCCAUGCCCUUGAUUUGGAAAGCUUGCAAAUCAUUAACAACCUUUUAUUUUUCAAAAUAUUUUAGAAAAUUAUAAUCCUCAAUGCUGUGAAGGAAUCUUGAAAUUACAGGGAUAUAUUUAUAGUCUUCAUGGAUAUAUAUAUAUAUAUAUAUAUAUAUAUAUAUAUAUAGAG